This is a non-coding RNA of Gossypium raimondii (Peruvian cotton), 88 nucleotides long. Lineage: Eukaryota; Viridiplantae; Streptophyta; Magnoliopsida; Malvales; Malvaceae. The record is from Rfam.
AAGCUGUGAUGACACCUGCGCUCAAGCGGAGCUUGGGUUCUUCGUAAUUGUCUGAUUUCAAGACGAUAUCGACGGCGCUUCUGAGCUU